CAACAGGGAUUGCCUUAGUAACGGCGAGUGAAGCGGCAAAAGCUCAAAUUUGAAAUCUGGCGCCUUCGGUGUCCGAGUUGUAAUUUGAAGAAGGUAACUUUGGAGUUGGCUCUUGUCUAUGUUCCUUGGAACAGGACGUCACAGAGGGUGAGAAUCCCGUGCGAUGAGAUGCCCAAUUCUAUGUAAAGUGCUUUCGAAGAGUCGAGUUGUUUGGGAAUGCAGCUCUAAGUGGGUGGUAAAUUCCAUCUAAAGCUAAAUAUUGGCGAGAGACCGAUAGCGAACAAGUACAGUGAUGGAAAGAUGAAAAGAACUUUGAAAAGAGAGUGAAAAAGUACGUGAAAUUGUUGAAAGGGAAGGGCUUGAGAUCAGACUUGGUAUUUUGCGAUCCUUUCCUUCUUGGUUGGGUUCUCCGCAGCUUACUGGGCCAGCAUCGGUUUGGAUGGUAGGAUAAUGAUUAAGGAAUGUGGCUCUACUUCGGUGGAGUGUUAUAGCCUUGGUUGAUACUGCCUGUCUAGACCGAGGACUGCGUCUUUGACUAGGAUGCUGGCAUAAUGAUCUUAA
This 561-nucleotide ribosomal RNA is filed under the name Debaryomyces nepalensis. RNAcentral describes it as "LSU rRNA". It matches the Rfam family "Eukaryotic large subunit ribosomal RNA", at positions 66 to 643 of the family's 3401-position model. Lineage: Eukaryota; Fungi; Ascomycota; Pichiomycetes; Serinales; Debaryomycetaceae. The record is from RNAcentral.